Long non-coding RNA from Bos taurus (domestic cattle), 1080 nucleotides. The record is from Ensembl. Lineage: Eukaryota; Metazoa; Chordata; Mammalia; Artiodactyla; Bovidae.
AAGAGGGCUCCUUUGUGGUUAACAGCAGUCCAUGGAGGACAGCCUGGGAGGAAACCUAAGGGCUGGCCUGGAACAUGUGCAAGGCAGUGACUUCAGAGACUCCCAGAACAGCUGCCAGCUGAGUAAUAGUCCAUUGUGUAUAUGUGCCACUACUUCCUUAUCCAAUCUUCUGCCGAUGGACAUCAAAGUUGCUUCCAUGUCCCAGCUGUUGUGAAUGGUGCUGCACUGAACACUGGGACUUUUUGAUGGCAACUAUUCUGACCAGUGUGAGAUGGUACCUCAUUGUGGAGCAGCCAUGAAGAGAUACCCCACGUCCAAGAGUACAUCAUGAGAAAUGCUGGACUGCAUGAAGCACAAGCAAAGGACUAAUGAAAGUGAAAUUGCUCAGUCGUGUCUGACUCUUUGCAACCCCAUGGACUGUAGCCUACCAGGCUCCUCCAUCCAUAGGAUUUUACAGAAAAUUAAGAAUAAGGUCACUAAAUGCUUGAGGGGGACAAAUCCAAAUCAUACCUCCCAAGACACAGUUCGAGCAAAUGCCUGCUGGUGUGUGGAGACAGAAGCAAUACACUGUGUGUGUCACUCUGCUGUGGACCACUAAUCGCUGAAGGCUAAGGGAGCACAUCCAUGUUUAUUUUUAUGAAUGUUCUGCUCUGCAAACUCUGUGGGACAGGCAGAGACAGCCAUGGUCCAGGACUCAGAAUGCUUGUCUUUCAUUCUGCUGCCCCUUAUAAGGUGCAUGAUGUUAAUAAGAAAACCAGUUUUCUGAGCCUCUUCCCAGAUCUUCUGUCCUCAUCCAUGGAUGGAGAAUGAUGAUAUUUAUCUCCUGCUCUUAUUAUGAAGUUCAAGUUCAGCUCUUUUCAGGAUAUAAAUCUGGAUUUCAAGUGUUAAAUGCUACACAACUGAGUGGAAUUAGUGAGCAAGUUUAAAAACCCAGUGGAUGAAAGAAAAUUAUGAAAGUAUGUAUGAAAACCCAUUUUAGUUAACAAGAUGAAAGGAAAACAUAGAUUUUAGAGCUGAGGAGAAAAUAUAUCAAUAGGAUUUGGAAAUUUCUUUUUUUAGCAUGACCUACCUUGCCUAGUG